RNAcentral lists this ribosomal RNA (253 nucleotides) under uncultured bacterium. Its description in RNAcentral is "partial 16S ribosomal RNA". It matches the Rfam family "Bacterial small subunit ribosomal RNA", at positions 524 to 776 of the family's 1533-position model. The record is from RNAcentral.
GACGGAGGGUGCAAGCGUUGUUCGGAAUUACUGGGCGUAAAGGGUUCGUAGGUGGCCAACUAAGUCAGACGUGAAAUCCCUCAGCUUAACUGGGGAACUGCGUCUGAUACUGUGUGGCUUGAGUGCAGGAGAGGAACGCGGAAUUCCAGGUGUAGCGGUGAAAUGCGUAGAUAUCUGGAGGAACACCGGUGGCGAAGGCGGCGUUCUGGACUGCAACUGACACUGAGGAACGAAAGCCAGGGGAGCAAACGGG